This 180-nucleotide non-coding RNA is filed under the name Aromatoleum sp. RNAcentral describes it as "6S RNA". It matches the Rfam family "6S / SsrS RNA". From Rfam's summary of the family: E. coli 6S RNA was the first non coding RNA to be sequenced, but its function was unknown until recently. It consists of 184 nucleotides that fold into an extended hairpin structure with a large single-stranded internal bulge. The 6S RNA specifically associates with RNA polymerase holoenzyme containing the sigma70 specificity factor. Lineage: Bacteria; Pseudomonadati; Pseudomonadota; Betaproteobacteria; Rhodocyclales; Rhodocyclaceae. The record is from RNAcentral.
UGUUCCCUGUGGUGUUCGAACUGUCCAUAUACUCUUUGAACCAAUGCUAAAUUAGCGAGGUUGCCCUGCCUUCGGCGGGCUGGUGUGCGCUCCCACGCGGAAGCGCCUGAAGGCCCCGGCGGGCGACCCUCUUGAACCCCGGUUCAAGAUGACGGGCGGUACGGCAUUUGCGGGGAACAC